CUCAGAUCACUUGGACGUGGCUGUGGUUACAAGAGGUAAAAACGAUAUAAAUACUGUUCGUUUUCUCACAAAAACCGCUCGUUUCGUGUCUUAGGGCAUCAAUGUGUACUUACAUUUAUGAGUCAUUAAAUAAUGUUUAAUUUUGACUGCUCUUUGAGGAGGACCCCCUUCACCUCCAUUGUAUGACUGACAGACAACAACGGUUUUACCUAAAAUUAUCAAAAUUGAAGAUACUGUGGAAACAAAGACACCUACAUCUUGGAUGCACUGGAGAUGCAGUUCAGAGAAACCCUCUCAUGGCUAAUGUUGCUGAAAUGGAGAUCGAGGGAUCCAUGAACUGGCAGCAGAUCCAGGGGCAGACACAAGAUAAGUUUAAAUCUAUAUUAAAAACACAACUCUUUAACCUAGCAUAAACAUAACACACUCCCACAUUUCUAUAAUUCACAUCCGGUAAGGUAGCUUACACCAAAUGUAUUUGUUACAUCGUAAAAAGAAUGGCAUCUAUGCUAAUGUUAGUCUCUCUGUCUCAUUCUUAUCCCAAGGUUAGGCUACUGUUGUCAGCCGGAUCUAGUCUGCAUCCAGACCAGAUGGUGGACCUGCACCCUAAGAUGACCACAACAGCCUAAAUGCCAGACGAGAACAUCACAACUAGACAAGACCUAGAAACAAACGCCUGUGAAGACCUCGUUGACACAACAGUCCUCGGCACAGUCAUCGAAUCAGAUCCACGAGAAACAGACCAGUUCUCCACACAGACCCAACGGCCAGCUUCAACUCCCCUCUCACCGACGCCGGCGUGAUCUUAUGAAGCAAAAGGAGCUGAAUAAAAUACUCUGAAUGAUAUCAAUCCACAAUCUGACUUGUGAAGCAGCCUGGAACCCUAACACACACCAUGUUCGUUGUUUGGCCAGAGGAGAACUGGACCCCCGACUGAGCCUGGUUUUACUUUCUUCGUUUUGUCACUGAUGGAGUUUGGGUUCUUGCCACUGUCACCUCUGGCUUGCUUAGUUGGGGACACUUAUUCUUAAUAUUACUGAUCGGCCGGCAUUGACACCAUUAUAUGAGAACUGAACUGAGCUGGACGAUGACAUCACUGUUUUCUGCAGAGCUGCUUAAUAAUGAAAAUGGACUCUUUUUAUAAUUGAUAUACUUUAUACAGUUAUUGAACAGA
Rhinichthys klamathensis goyatoka is the source of this 1171-nucleotide long non-coding RNA. RefSeq lists it as uncharacterized. NCBI's taxonomy places the organism in Eukaryota, Metazoa, Chordata, Actinopteri, Cypriniformes, Leuciscidae. The transcript has 3 exons. The record is from RefSeq and is a predicted model, not a curated record.